AUAUCUUUGGCAAUAUUUUUACUAACAUCAGUAUAUUUUUAAAAUAAAAUGAUGUAUUUCAGAAGAUUUACCUGGAAGUAGGAAGGCCUUGACACCAGGGAGGAGGCUGCAGGCUGAGCACAGGGCAGCUGAGUGACUCUGCCAUGCCAAUCCCACGUCCCACUACUGAACAAAGUUUUACUGUCUCAUGUCUUACUGACCCACUCAUUUGAGGCUGAACUUUUUUGGUACCUUUGACCACUUGUUUGGGAGUUUUGCCAGUGGCCAGAUAGAAGGAUGCUUCAGAGCAAAUUGGGGUCUGCCUCACUGAGUCUUCCUUUGUGCCUCCUCUGACAGGGAGCAGGACAACACACCCUGUGUUGACCCUCCAGACUGGGCAGGAACCUCAGUCCAGCUCUGCCAUUGACCGGCUGUGACCCUCGUGGCCAACAUUACUCUGAGACUCAGUCUCUUUAGUCUAUUCCAGAGUGGGUUCCUUAAAUGCCUUGAAGGAACAUCACUUACCUACUAAAGUAUAAUAAAAAUGUCCACAAAUUAAAUAUGUCUUCUUUACUGGUGCUUGAAGAUGUUUUUUGGCACCCCAGAGUUAAACAAACACUGGAUGCCAAUGAUAUGCAGAAAAUUACUACUUUUGCUUUUUAAAGAGAAUCACCAUAUCUCAUCAAAUCUAAGAUGCCACCAACUGACUGCAAUUCGCAUUCUGAUUUUAGAAAUAAAUGUGAAAAAAAUGUAGAUCUUAGAAACACUGCAAUUGUUAGAAUAGCUGGCAAAAUAGCGAUUUUCUUGUUGAGAGGUGAUAAAAUGCUUCAGCUAUACUGUAUUCAGACUUGCCUGAUGUUACCCUGGUACUUAUAUCUUCUGCUUCUUUAUGGAUAUAUUUAAUAUUUCAUUCAGUGAAUAUGGAUUUACUGAAAAUAUUUUCUCAAAAUAUUUAAAAAAAAGUCUCGGAGCUUUGGAGAACACACAUAGAAAGCUGCCUGCCUAAAGUUCUUGAAAUAAAAAAAGUACACGAGAUAGAUUCUUUGCUAAGCACUUCUCAGUUACAAUGAGCAUUUCUUGAUAACCAAUGAACAACAGCGACAUUACUGAACAUUUGUUCUGAAAAGGCAGUAAAAAGGACUAUGGGAUAAACUCUUCCAACAUAACUUUGUGACCAGAUCCUGUCUGAGGAGCUUGUUAGGAGACUGACAAAAAUAGUCUCAAUUAAACGCUAUUCUCUUCCUUUAAGAAAAGCUCUCUUGCUCAGCUAUAUUACUGGACAGCAUGGCUUUGGUGCUUAAAGCUUUCCUGUUCUCACUGGAAAAUUGGAGUCAGUGCCUUAGGCACCACCACGCCGAGGCACCCUCAUGCUUAAUGAUCACAUCAGACUAUGCAGGCUUCAACCACUUUAAACAAUUUCCUUUGUCUCCCUUUCCUUUUCUGUAAAUUUUUUUGUUGUUUCGUUGUUAUGGGUAGUGACAGUUUCUGGUUUCUUUCGUUUACCAACGGUUUCCUUUACCACAGCCUCUAUUCCUCCUGCUGGAAGCCUGGCAUGAUUGGAAGCUGGAAGAAAAACCACAACUGAAUAGGCUGGCACUUACAUUAACAGUCAUUUCCAACCACAGAUUAAUACUGUUACUGGAUUUGACUAACGGCUCUCAAUCAGACCAACUGUCAUCACUUGAGAACAUGCUAGUCAGUGAAAGCCAAAAAGGAAAAUAUAAGCAAAUCCAAAUCAUGGUAUAAUUUUUCUGACUGCUCAUCUUUUGAAUCCAAAGAAAACUGCAUAGAAAAAUGGUGAGACACCAUCAUUUUCAUCUGAGUGAUUGAGUUUCUUCCUGCUGACUGUUUGGAGUUCCCCUAUGAGCUGGCAUAAGAGUUCAUCCAAGUGUGCUAUUUGUUUCUUCCCUGUGGAACUGCCAUAUCAGCUUUAAGAAAGAUGAUGAAAGAAAAGAAAUGGGCCGAGAAGGACCUAAGGAAACCAGGCCAAGCUUGCUGUUCAUGUGGACCCUUAGGGGGAGAAUGGAAGGCAAAAGCAGAGAACUGGGUCCAAUUUUCUUUCUCAGUGCUAUCUGUGCAGUGGUCAGAUGUGGCACUCACAACCAAAAGUUUUUGAAACAGCACCGCAAUUUUUGUUUCUUAAAGUGGCAUGUGGAAUGAAAGCUCACAGAGACAAUGAGGCUCCCCAGGUGCAAGCAUUUUUAAAGUCAGGACACACUGAGGACGGUUCACUAGUGUCGAUAAACACUUUAUACUUGCAAGUUGGAGCUCAAGCACCACGAAUUCAGGGCAGCUGCAUCAACCUCAGCUUGGCUGGUUUCACAUGCAAGAUCCCCAGUGUCUAUAGCCCCUACACAAACCAGAAAACACGACAAUGUGGGAGACAGAAGAACGAGACUUCAGUGAGAAGGGCACUGACUUAUUUUCUUCUCUCUUCCUGACAAAUGGCAAGUUGUCUGUUUCUUCUUUAAUUUAUCAUUUUAUUUGAUGACUUAGACCUGCAUUGUCCAAUCAGUACAUGUGGCUACUGAGCACUUGAAAUGUGGCUGGUCUGAACUGAGAUGUGCUGUAAGUGUAAAAUAGACAUUGGAGUUUGAACAGUUAGGUAAAAAAGAAGAAUGUAAAAAUAUCUCAUUCAUCUAUACAUUUAUAUUCAUUAAAGGUUGAAAUGAUAACAUUUUAGAUGUACUGUGUUAAAUAAAACAUAUUAUUAAAAGUAA
Non-coding RNA from Callithrix jacchus (white-tufted-ear marmoset), 2699 nucleotides. Lineage: Eukaryota; Metazoa; Chordata; Mammalia; Primates; Cebidae. The record is from RefSeq and is a predicted model, not a curated record.